GACGAACGCUGGCGGCGUGCUUAACACAUGCAAGUCGAACGGAAAGGCCCUGCUUUUGUGGGGUGCUCGAGUGGCGAACGGGUGAGUAACACGUGAGUAACCUGCCCCUGUCUUUGGGAUAACUUCAGGAAACUGGGGCUAAUACCGGAUAGGAGCUCCUGCUGCAUGGUGGGGGUUGGAAAGUUUCGGCGGUUGGGGAUGGACUCGCGGCUUAUCAGCUUGUUGGUGGGGUAGUGGCUUACCAAGGCUUUGACGGGUAGCCGGCCUGAGAGGGUGACCGGCCACAUUGGGACUGAGAUACGGCCCAGACUCCUACGGGAGGCAGCAGUGGGGAAUAUUGCACAAUGGGCGGGAGCCAGAUGCAGAAACGCCGCGUGCGGGAUGACGGCCUUCGGGUUGUAAACCGCUUUCGCCUGAAACGAAGCGUGAGUGACGGUAAUGGGUAAAGAAGCACCGGCUAACUACGUG
Molecule: ribosomal RNA, 468 nt
Filed under: uncultured bacterium
Lineage: Bacteria
Description: partial 16S ribosomal RNA
Rfam family: Bacterial small subunit ribosomal RNA
Source: RNAcentral